GGGUUGCUGCAGCCUAUGAGAGAGUGGGCGGGGCUGGUGGCUGAUCCCAUGCGAUGAGUUAGGCGCUGACCCCGAAAUACUGUCCCUGGAGGGGGAGUAUAUAGAGGAACACAGGGGUCUGUACAAGGACGUGAUGAUGGAGAAUAACCGGCCCCUCACAUUACUGGGUGGACCCAGUAACAGAGAUACCCCAGAGAGAUGUCCCCGUCCUCUGUAUUCCCAGGACUGUACAGAGGAGAAUCACAGGAUCCCACAGGAGGAUC
Molecule: long non-coding RNA, 263 nt
Organism: Pseudophryne corroboree (corroboree frog)
Lineage: Eukaryota; Metazoa; Chordata; Amphibia; Anura; Myobatrachidae
Exons: 3
Source: RefSeq, a predicted model, not a curated record